Molecule: long non-coding RNA, 765 nt
Filed under: Pan troglodytes (chimpanzee)
Lineage: Eukaryota; Metazoa; Chordata; Mammalia; Primates; Hominidae
Description: long non-coding RNA NONPTRT001404
Source: RNAcentral
CCCUACCCCACCCCCACCCUCAUCCAGAUGUCAGCCCAGGCCUCCCAUGGAUCCCCCUGGAGGACAGAGGCACAAGCUCCUUACAUGAUCACCUGUCCCUGUCACCACCCAGGGUCUGUCCACGCAUUGGCUUUUGUCUCUGCCUUCUUCAUCUUUACCACAACUCUUCUGUCUUUCCCUCUACAGCCACAAUGAAAGACGGAACACAUUUCUACACCCAGUGACUGGCCAGGUCCCAGAGGAAAACAAAAAAUUUGACUUGAAAAUGUAAGUGUGUCCCCUACUUGCUGUUUGGGCUUUCUGCCCUUAACCACUACCAUCCCACUGCCUCCUUGCAGCUGGAAAGCAGAAGGCAACAGGGAGGGGAAGGAAAGCAGAAGGGCUUUGCAGUCACUCACCUCGGUUCUGAGGACUGGAAGCAUCUGAGACCCAUCUGGCUUGACACCCUCAUCCACUUUUCCUAGGGUCUAGCAAAAGCCAGGGUGGUGCACCCCGCAGGUUGAGCUGAUGGAGUAGAAGACAGGUAUGAGGCUGGCAUAGCACCCAGGGGCCUUUGACAGAAGCGCUGAGAAAAUCUGAUAUGAUCAUGAGAGCCAAAUGCUAAUUCCUCUCACUGUGGAUCCUGGCUCACCAAAUGAAAGGAGAAAAAAAGAAAAGAGGAUAAUUAAUCUACUCUCAUAGGCCACUAAGCAGUUGUGUCUUUUAAAGUAGAAGGAAAGGAUUUCUAGAGCCCCAGGGUCUAGAUUUUAAAAUAAAUAUCCAGGG